CCCUUAGAUGUUCUGGGCCGCACGCGCGCUACACUGACGAUGGCAACGAGUUUUUCCUUCGCCGAAAGGUGUGGGUAAUCUUUUGAAACAUCGUCGUGCUGGGGAUAGAUCAUUGCAAUUUUUGAUCUUGAACGAGGAAUUCCUAGUAAGCGCGAGUCAUCAGCUCGCGUUGAUUACGUCCCUGCCCUUUGUACACACCGCCCGUCGCUACUACCGAUUGAAUGGUCCGGUGAAAUCUUCGGAUUGCUGACCAAGAUCCAGCAAUGGAGCUUGGUUGCGAGAAGUUGAUUAAACCUUAUUAUUUAGAGGAAGGAGAGGUCGUAACA
This 326-nucleotide ribosomal RNA is filed under the name uncultured eukaryote. RNAcentral's name for it is "partial 18S ribosomal RNA". It matches the Rfam family "Eukaryotic small subunit ribosomal RNA", at positions 1470 to 1796 of the family's 1831-position model. The record is from RNAcentral.